This 465-nucleotide ribosomal RNA is filed under the name uncultured bacterium. Its description in RNAcentral is "partial 16S ribosomal RNA". It matches the Rfam family "Bacterial small subunit ribosomal RNA", at positions 338 to 795 of the family's 1533-position model. The record is from RNAcentral.
CCUACGGGAGGCAGCAGUAGGGAAUCUUCCACAAUGGACGAAAGUCUGAUGGAGCAACGCCGCGGGAGUGAAGCAGGGUUUCGGCUCGUAAAGCUCUGUUGGCAGUGAAGAAAGAUAGAGGUAGUAACUGGCCUUUAUUUGACGGUAAUUACUUAGCAAGUCACGUAUAACUACUUGCAAGCCGCCGCGGUAAUACGUAGGUGGCAAGCGUUGUCCGGAUUUAUUGGGCGUAAAACGAGUGCAGGCGGUUCAAUAAGUCUGAUGUGAAAGCCUUCGGCUCAACCGGGGAAUUGCAUCAGAAACUGUUGAACUUGAGUGCAGAAGAGGAGAGUGGAACGCCAUGUGUAGCGGUGGAAUGCGUAGAUAUAUGGAAGAACACCAGUGGCGAAGGCGGCUCUCUGGUCUGCAACUGACGCUGAGGCUCGAAAGCAUGGGGAGCGAACAGGAUUAGAUACCCGUGUAGUC